ACUUAGUUAUUCAAAUCAUUAUUCAUAUUACUAUGAAUAACUAAGGGAAUCAUCCCUGAUUCCUCCCCCUCUCU
This is a non-coding RNA of Ceratotherium simum simum (southern white rhinoceros), 74 nucleotides long. Lineage: Eukaryota; Metazoa; Chordata; Mammalia; Perissodactyla; Rhinocerotidae. The record is from RefSeq and is a predicted model, not a curated record.